Molecule: ribosomal RNA, 396 nt
Filed under: uncultured bacterium
Lineage: Bacteria
Description: partial 16S ribosomal RNA
Rfam family: Bacterial small subunit ribosomal RNA
Source: RNAcentral
AUACGUAGGUGGCAAGCGUUGUCCGGAAUUAUUGGGCGUAAAGCGCAUGUAGGCGGUUUGGUAAGUCGGUCGUGAAAAUGCGGUGCUUAACGCCGUAUGGGGAUCGAAACUGCUGAACUUGAGUGCAGGUGAGGAAAGGGGAACUCCCAGCGUAGCGGUGAAAUGCGUAGAUAUUGGGAAGAACACCGGUGGCGAAGGCGCCUUUCUGGACUGUGUCGGACGCUCAGAUGCGAAAGCCAGGGUAGCGAACGGGAUUAGAUACCCCGGUAGUCCUGGCCGUAAACGAUGGGUACUAGGUGUGGGAGGUAUCGACUCCUUCCGUGCCGGAGUUAACGCAAUAAGUCCCCCGCCUGGGGAGUACGGCCGCAAGGCUUAAACUCAAAUGAAUUGACGGGG